UAAUAUCAUUCGUGCAUGAUAAUCCAACGAUUGGAAAGGAUCGUACCAUUGGAUUGAAUGAAGGUGAAGCUUUUGGCGCAGCUGAUCAUCCGUUGCCCCUGCCCUUUCUAAUCUUCUCAACUUCCCUCGUCUCUUUCAACACUCAAACCCGCACAGUCAAAGGGAUUGGGAAAAACGACUAAACAAUACACAAACUUCGAGAGAAGAACAAGAAGGCAUUUGGGCUUAAAUUUAGAACUCAAAAAUAAGGCCAGAUUCGGCACAUUAGAGAAGAGAGCAGAACAAGGUGAGUCACCCGGUAUCUGAAGUCAAAUGGGUUUUUCAAUGUCUGGUUGUGUUGCAGAUUUACUUGAAUUUGGGGGAUGCUAUGGAAUCAGGUUUCCUUUUUCUGUUGGAUAUUGAACGUUUCGAAAUUUUCAUUAAAAAGUCGCCGAAAUUUUUUUCCUGCUCAAUUUAUGGGCUUCUAGUGGCCGGAAAACGAUUUAUCAGAGAAUUUUAAAUCCACAUUAUGCGGUGGCAUGCCGUAGCCGCAUGGACUUGGGAUGCACAAGAUGAAACCUGUGGAAUUUGUAGGAUGGCUUUUGAUGGUUGCUGUCCUGACUGUAAACUCCCUGGGGAUGAUUGCCCUCUGAGUAGCUAACUUUAGUCGCUUCAAUGACCUUUGAUGUUAUUUAUGGUGCCAAUUUGGUCAAUGGCGUUGGACAAGUAUUGUGAAACUCUUAAUCUAAUAUCCCGACUCAUUGUUAAAAUAAUGUUCAUUUUAGAUAUUC
This is a long non-coding RNA of Mangifera indica (mango), 770 nucleotides long. RefSeq lists it as uncharacterized. Lineage: Eukaryota; Viridiplantae; Streptophyta; Magnoliopsida; Sapindales; Anacardiaceae. The transcript has 3 exons. The record is from RefSeq and is a predicted model, not a curated record.